RNAcentral lists this ribosomal RNA (370 nucleotides) under Rhizophagus intraradices. RNAcentral's name for it is "large subunit ribosomal RNA". It matches the Rfam family "Bacterial large subunit ribosomal RNA", at positions 779 to 1109 of the family's 2925-position model. Lineage: Eukaryota; Fungi; Glomeromycota; Glomeromycetes; Glomerales; Glomeraceae. The record is from RNAcentral.
CGGGUGUCCGUUGCAAGGGACUCCGAAGAGCUGUGGCAAGGGGUGAAAAGCCAAUCUAACCUGGAGAUAGCUGGUCUUCUGCGAAACCCGUUUUAGCGGGUCGCCCAUUUAUUGAAAUUAAAUUCGUUACUAGACGGUACGGCACUGGAAGCCACGCAGCUUUUGCUGCAUAAUCGGGGGGCUGUCAUGGCUCUAUCGAUGGCUUCUAACCCCGGAAAUGUAUAGUAUACAAUGAUGGGCAAUCAGACGUAUCGUGAUAAGGCGAUUCGUCAAAAGGGCAACAGCCCAGAACAGGUGUGAAGGUCCCUAACAAGCUACCGAGUGAACACAAGGCAGUCCUCUCCAGUGUCUCUCCACAAAGUGGGCUUGG